AUGGAUGCAGGCUCAUCACUGGAGGGAACUAUAGAUCUACGAGAGGAGGAGAUGGAACAGUCUGUCUCAGGUCUGACGUUCACCCUGGACCCCUCUGCUGCUGCUCCAUCCCUCCAUCUCUCCACCUCUUCUCUCACUGUGACGUUCCACGGACCAAGCCCUCCGCCACUACCCUCUCGCCAUCAUGGAAACAGGGUCACAGGGUCAGUAACAAGCACUGAAUCCCAGGAGUCUGCCCCCCAUCCCCUCCCUCAGGUGUGUGGGGACGUGGUCAUCAUCAGGGGUCAGUUCUACUGGGAGGUGGACGUAUGCAACAGCACCCUCUACAGGAUAGGAGUGAGCUCAUUGGACGAUGCUUGCGGCUGGUGGCUGGAAAGGCGGGGCUUGUCCUUCUCCACUGUGUAUGAUAGCCGUCGGGAGCCCUUACGUGCCGUGCCACCCCAGAUCAAGACCCUAGGGCUGUUCCUCAACAUGGGUGGAGGGACGUUGAGCUUCCACAACCCUCUGACCCAGGAGCACCUGGCCACCCUACCCACUCGCUUCAGCCAUGCUGGGGUACGUCCCGCUCUGGGGCUGGGCCAGGGCAGGCUGAGGCUCCACUGUGGCCUACCCCCUCCACCCCACGUCUUUCUCAGCCGAGCAUCUGACUAUAGAGGGCCCACUGGAGCUGGUGGGGGUCGCUGGCGCAGAGACAUGCCCUUCCGGUCUGUACGGAUGGUCAUCCAGAAGUUUGAGGAGCUGGCGGUGUCAGAUUCUGACUCAGGGCUGGUGUCCAGUUUUGGGUCAUCCUGCUCCACUCUGGCCGAACCAGGCCCAGGCCUCAGCUUCAGCCUCAGCCCAGGAGCAGCUCUCCAUUCUGGGAAAGAGGGAAAGGAGGCGGGGGCAGAGUGA
Molecule: long non-coding RNA, 891 nt
Filed under: Oncorhynchus mykiss (rainbow trout)
Lineage: Eukaryota; Metazoa; Chordata; Actinopteri; Salmoniformes; Salmonidae
Description: lncRNA (ENSOMYG00000070701.1)
Source: RNAcentral